GAUGAACGCUGGCGGCGUGCUUAACACAUGCAAGUCGAACGGAAAGGCUCCUGCUUGCCGGGGUACUCGAGUGGCGAACGGGUGUGUAACACGUGGGUGAUCUGCCCUGCACUUCGGGAUAAGCCUGGGAAAAUGGGUCUAAUACCGGAUAGGACCUCAUUUUGGAUGGUGUGGUGGAAAGUUUUUCGGUGUGGGUUGGGCUGGCGGCCUAUCCGCUUGUUGGUGGGGUAAUGGCUUACCAAGGCGUUGACGGGUAGCCGGCCUGAGAGGGUGGACGGCCACAUUGGGACUGAGAUACGGCCCAGACUCCUACGGGAGGCAGCAGUGGGGAAUAUUGCACAAUGGGCGCAAGCCUGAUGCAGCGACGCCGCGUGGGGGAUGACGGCCUUCGGGUUGUAAACUCCUUUCGCUAGGGACGAAGCGCAAGUGACGGUACCUGGAGAAGAAGCACCGGCUAACUACGUG
RNAcentral lists this ribosomal RNA (465 nucleotides) under uncultured bacterium. RNAcentral's name for it is "partial 16S ribosomal RNA". It matches the Rfam family "Bacterial small subunit ribosomal RNA", at positions 28 to 507 of the family's 1533-position model. The record is from RNAcentral.